ACUUUCUUGGAUGUUUCAUCGUGUUUCUCAGUUUCUAAAAUGAUCCACUGAUGCCAACAAGAGAGAUAUUUCAGAAAACAACUAAAGGAACUACGAAAAAGAAAGCUGCCUAAGAUCAGUUGGGUGUUACCCUUCACUUCGUAUCCACUACUUCAUCUAACUUCGGUUUUCCAAAGCAAAUGUCCAAGUUAGCGGUUAUACUGCUUCCAUUAUCAACAAAAAAGGGAUAUAGCUUUAACACUCAGUAUGAAUUUAACGCUGAAAGUGAAAUUUUACUGACUUAAGUUGCCAAUCAUUCAUAGUUUCCACGCGAUCUUAAACAAUGGCCUUCGAAAACCAUCUUUGAGAUCGAGAUCUCAAAUACACAAUCGGUUCAGGGACUUGUACAAGCAAAAUAUGUGACCUGAUUACCCAAUUUGUUAAAGGAGUGCGUGGAGAGUGUUGGCUGAAAUGGAUUAUCGCGAGUUGCUUUUCUAGGUUGCAAAACGUGGAGGAAAGACAAGUUAUGAAAGGUUAGGGAAAGGAACUUGUGCCACAUUUGUUAGAGAAGAACGUAUUCUCUCUCAUACUGAUAGAAACUAUGAUGUUUCACAACAAACAUAAAUUAAACUACAUUGACUAAAAAAGGAACGUGUCAUGUGCAACACUUUAAUUUAUUGGAAGAAGCAUCUUCAUUUUCUCGCCGCCAUGUUGCCGUCAGAAAGAUUAUUCGAGAAGCCACGCAUAGGCUGUUCGAAUUCUUGUUCCCAGUCCCAGAAAUGUCCCACUUCCUUCGCUUCGGCUGGCGUUCGCGCCUUUCGUUUCUUCUUUCGUCCUUGCCUGAUUGCCGAGGAUGGAGCAGAGAGCACAACACCGAUAAUUCAUUUCCAAGCUUGGUUUCGUGCUGUGGAUUUGCUUAAAAAAUGAGGGAAUUAAUUCAAACAGAGGUUUGACCAUGGAGGACUGACAUGGAACACCUUUCAAGCGGCUUCACCACCGAUUUCAGCGCCGUAAGAGAUGUAGUAGCACAACAUAAGUUUCUCAGACGUUUCUUCAUGUGACUCAGUUUGCAAAGUGAUCCAUUUAUGCCAACAAGAAACAGAUUUCAGAAAAAAAAAGUGGAGGAAUACGAAAAACAAAGCUACCUUCAAUCAGUUGGGUCAUCCUUCAGUUGGUAUCUACUAAAACUGUCAACUUCUGUUUUCCAGAGGAAAUAUCCAAGCUGGCGGUCAUUCCUUCCAAUAUCAACAAAACUAAAGAAUAUGCCCCAAAAAGCCAGUAUGGAUUUUAUGAUGGCAGUAAAACUUUCUUCUUCACAAAAAAAUUACACAUGAACUUGUUUUCGUUACCACAACUUUCAGUCCUUCCACAUCUAUUACAGUGACCACCGAAAGACAUCUUUGGAGCCCAUUGCAAGAUUAUAAAUACAUGAUGCUGUUUUUUUCUUUUUUUUGAGUAAAACAUGUGACUGGAUUGCCCAAAUUCCUAAAGGAUUACGUGGAGAGUCUUCGCCAAAACGGAAUUUUGCGAGUUGCUUUCGAGACUGAGCAGGAAGAACGACAUCAAUGAAGCGAUCAACGCUCCUCAACUCAUGAAAGGCUGGAGAACAUAACGGGAGCUCUCUCUCGAGCUGGCGGAAACCGUGACGUCGAUUCACAAUGACAUAAAAGAAGGGAAAAGAAAUGUGCCUUUGACAAGACCUUUUUUAACAUGAACAAAAUAUUUGUAACACCGUUUUCUUUUCGGGUCGAAAGUGAAAUAAUUAUCAUAUUCGGAAACCAUGAGCUGUUCGCAAGAGACUCCGUUCCCAUGAGGCUUUUCUCCCUUCGAAGUAACGUCGCCACUGAAAACCCCGUAUGAUAUUGGAGCAUGACUGUCAAACCACAAUCCAUAGGCAACGUUACGGUCAAGAGAUGUUGCUAGGAACAUCGCAAAAAGUUAUUCACAGUGUAUCUUGACAUUCACGGGCAUAUAGCUGUCUAACAAGUUAUUGGUUACAGAUGUGAUGGCAUCUCAACAUACAUUGGGCGCCUCUCCACCACAGUUUUCAGAAAAUGCACAUUUACAACACAUGGGAAGGAGUGGUAAUGAUCCACACGAGAGGUGAGAAUCGUUUGUUAAUGUA
RNAcentral lists this long non-coding RNA (2104 nucleotides) under Stylophora pistillata. Its description in RNAcentral is "uncharacterized LOC111341304". The record is from RNAcentral. Lineage: Eukaryota; Metazoa; Cnidaria; Anthozoa; Scleractinia; Pocilloporidae.